CAGUAGCCGCGGUAAUACGAAGGGUGCAAGCGUUAAUCGGAAUUACUGGGCGUAAAGCGUGCGUAGGCGGUUUGUUAAGUCUGUUGUGAAAUCCCCGGGCUCAACCUGGGAAUGGCAAUGGAUACUGGCAAGCUAGAGUGUGUCAGAGGAUGGUGGAAUUCCCGGUGUAGCGGUGAAAUGCGUAGAGAUCGGAAGGAACAUCUGUGGCGAAGGCGACUAUCUGGGCCAACACUGACACUGAGACACGAAAGCGUGGGGAGCAAACAGGAUUAGAUACCCCUGUAGUCCCUGUCUCUUAUAC
RNAcentral lists this ribosomal RNA (301 nucleotides) under uncultured bacterium. RNAcentral describes it as "partial 16S ribosomal RNA". It matches the Rfam family "Bacterial small subunit ribosomal RNA", at positions 509 to 807 of the family's 1533-position model. The record is from RNAcentral.